CCUACGGGAGGCAGCAGUAAGGAAUAUUGGUCAAUGGGGGCAACCCUGAACCAGCCAUGCCGCGUGCAGGAUGAUUGCCCUAUGGGUUGUAAACUGCUUUUGUUAGGGAAUAAACCCCACUACGUGUAGUGGGCUGAAUGUACCUAAAGAAUAAGGAUCGGCUAACUCCGUGCCAGCGGCCGCGGUAAUACGGAGGAUCCGAGCGUUAUCCGGAUUUAUUGGGUUUAAAGGGUGCGUAGGCGGCACUUUAAGUCAGGGGUGAAAGACGGCAGCUCAACUGUCGCAGUGCCCUUGAUACUGAAGUGCUUGAAUGCGGUUGAAGACGGCGGAAUGAGACAAGUAGCGGUGAAAUGCAUAGAUAUGUCUCAGAACACCGAUUGCGAAGGCAGCUGUCUAAGCCGUUAUUGACGCUGAUGCACGAAAGCGUGGGGAUCGAACAGGAUUAGAUACCCUGGUAGUCCACGCCCUAAACGAUGAUGACUCGAUGUUUGCGAUAUACCGUAAGCGUCCAAGCGAAAGCGUUAAGUCAUCCACCUGGGGAGUACGCCCGCAAGGGUGAAACUCAAAGGAAUUGACGG
This 578-nucleotide ribosomal RNA is filed under the name uncultured bacterium. RNAcentral describes it as "bacterial SSU rRNA". It matches the Rfam family "Bacterial small subunit ribosomal RNA", at positions 338 to 916 of the family's 1533-position model. The record is from RNAcentral.